Non-coding RNA from Phalacrocorax carbo (great cormorant), 4088 nucleotides. NCBI's taxonomy places the organism in Eukaryota, Metazoa, Chordata, Aves, Suliformes, Phalacrocoracidae. The record is from RefSeq and is a predicted model, not a curated record.
CCCGGGCCGGGGGGCGCCGGGCGGGGGAGCGCCGCGCCCUGCCCUGCCCUCCGCCCCGCCUCAGCCCCCCGGCGCAGCCCCCAGCCCCGGUCAGCAGCAGCAAAGGCAUUAACUCCCCAGGGAACACCGCCGUGGGCCGGCAGCUGUUGCAGGGCCAAGCAGCUGCUGCGAGCCCUGAGGAGAGCUGUGGAGCCGGGACGGGGCCCCAGCCCCCGGCAGCGAGGAGCCAGCAAGCAGCUUCGCCAUGGCGGCUCCGGCCAGGCUGACAUCGCCCUCUCCCGCACUGAGCAGGGCGAGCAGGGACGGACCUCCACAUCCUGGGAUUCCUGCCAGCAGGAAGAGAACAACCCAACCGCGCCAGUGCUUCCUCCGGCUGUGAGCAAGGGGCCUUCCAGCUGGGCCUUUCUCCAUCACGGGAGCGAGGGACAGAUUUGGUCACCCCACCAGUGUUCUCCCACCCCAACAGUCACCCACUACAUUGGAGGAGACAUGGCUUUGCUUUAGCGUUGGCUAUAAAUCAGCUUUUGAGCUUCAGCUGCAGGCACGGGUGCCUCCUCUGAAAGCCAGGAGCCGCUUCCCGCCCGCUGUACCAGGCCCUCCCGGCAGGUCUCAGCGUACAGGUGAUGCUCAUCACGCAUUUACCCCCAGCAAAAGCACCCACGGUCUUACAAAAGCAGAUCUUUAUUUACAUUUUUCCAUUCUUUACAUUUGGUGGUUUAAAACGCAGGACAAAAAUACUCCCCAGAAGCUGUGAUAAACAUGUAAAACUGCUAGUUUACAUUUUAAAACCCAGUAAUAAAUUGCGCAGAAGUCUUAGGUUGUACAGAGCCGCCACAAAUAUUGUUGUAUAAAACCCCAAAAAUCUCUAAAGAGAACCACAGGAAUAAAGAAUUACAGCCACGAGUAUUGGUACAAGAAAGGGCACAAGUUUUGAGGGUUUUACCCCAACAGUCUCUCAUGGGGAAGAGGGAUGGGACGUUCCUGUUGCAGAGUUUGGGAAUACUUAAAAAUACAGAAUAAAAACGAAGCAGACCCCAGAACACCCUUUAUCGCCUCUCUUGUGCUGGCUCAACAGGAAAACUUCCUAGCAGAAAGUAUUUACUUUUACAAAACUACUGAAAGCUCAGUGGAAAGCUAAAAAAGAAUCUCUGUCCAACAAAAAGACGACCCUUUGCGUCCCUCAUCUCCCCGUUCCCCAUCCUCUGCAGGCAGUGGGAUGACAGGUGCCAAAGCGGAGUUUAGUAGGACACAAACAACAAUGAAAAAGCCAAAAAUAUGGAGGCGGCACAUGUGCAGAGCUGGACAAGAACAAAACCAUGAAGGACAAAAAAUGAAGCAGCAGGGAAAAAAAAAAAAGGACACGAUAUUUUUGGUAUUUUCCAUUGAAUGCCGAGUUUGGAAACAAUUAGCUCACAAGCUUCACGCGCACCCCACCACUUCCCCGCCCCAUUUCAAACAAAACCAAAAAACAAUUGUGUACAAACUUGGGCCAGGAAUUUGAAUUCUUUCCUGUGCGCUGAAGUUUUUUACCCAGAGCUGGGUUUGGAAAAAAAGGGGCUUUUUUCCCCUCUUUUUUCCAGAGCUCAGAGAGAGAGGCAGGACCCAGGGCCUGCAGGAAGUCCCCAGGACAUAAAAUGGUUGAAGCCAGAGAGGCUGCAGAGAAGAGAGACAGCAGCGAGGCAGAGGACAGAGGGACCGUCCACUCGCCCGCUCCCAAGGGGACCACGCUCACACCCAGACAUUGGUUUUACCCCGUCGCGCUCAUCCAAAGUACUCGUAUACCCCGAGGCCACAACCGCGGGCAGCUUUAAGAAGAGCCAGCCUAACUCCUCCACCCUGCAGUCCUGGGCUGUUUCAGAUGGGUCCGUGAAAGACAAACUCUUUGUGUCAGGCUUCGAUUCCCUGCGGCGGCACUGGGGGACAGGCAAGGCUGGGCAGGAAGGCUGAAAACCACAGCCCUUUGCCAGUUAUUUCUGUCCGCUUGCACAACAGCGAGGUUGCUCAGAGACACGCGGAGGGCGAUAACCUGCUGCACCCUGGCCAGAGCCACCUCGCAGCUCAGAGAGGCCUCUCCCCGCGGGAGCUGUGCGUGCCCAGCCCUAGCAUCCGAACGAAUGAGGACCACCAUGAGGUCUAGCUCUGACGCCUUCCUGCUCCGUCCACAGCAGCCAGUGGAAAAGGACACUCCUCACCAGCAAAUAAAUCUUCUACCUACAUUUUCUCAGAUGAGCUAUAGGAAGGUAAGCCCAAACAUAAACUGGUCUAAGUUACUUAAAUAUUUCUCCAACAUCCUUUCAAAGAUUCUAUGGCGAGCUCUGCAGAUUCAGUUGUACGCUGCUGUCCUCAUUACAUGCUUCAUCUCAAGCAAUACUAAUGUUGAAACUAUGGCAGAACUGGUAUCCACUUCAGUGGCAAAGACCUGGACAAAUACUGUCUCAGCCAACCAGCUCUUUUUUGGGACGUAGUGUAUGACAUUCUUUUCCACCAGACAAAGCAUCUAGUGGUUUCUGAAAACCUCUCUUCCUUAAAUGUUGCAAAGACGACCCCACGUACAGCAAGAGGUGCUAGUAGUUCAUAGCAAAUAUAAUUUGGGAGAGCAAGCUCAGGGGCACGGGAGCACUGCAGAGCUGCAGGGCACAACACAGCUGUGUGAGGUACAGCUGGCCUCUCCUCUCCACAGCCUCCUCCAUGAACGGUGCAUUCCCAACUGUAAAGGUUAAACAAGGAUGACAGACCCUGGCUGGGGGUCUAGAAGGGUAUCCCAGUGGCUCUGGCCACAGUAACUAGUCAGCGUUCAAGUUUUCCAGCCAAGGAACACGGGCUGGACAUGUCACCAGCAGCUCAGCUUCAGGGAUGGAGACCAAGGGACUGGGAAUCCCGGCGCGGGCUGCCUCUCCCCGACCCCGGCAGGGCCAGGAGCCUGAAGCCCAACAAAGCACGUCCCAAAGCACUGACAGCUCACAGGCAUUUUUCCAGAGGUGCGGAAGGGAGUUGCCUCCUGAAAGGAGGAACAUGUACUGCCAACAGCAAGGAAGACCACAAGAGCUAUGGGCUGAGCCAGGCAAAACAGGUUCAACUAACUGGGAGGAACAGGAAGAGCUCUGGGGAAGAGACCUACCAUUACGAACAAACAAGCCCCUACCUUUGACUCCGGGUGUAUCAAGAAUGCUUUUCAUGGCAGGCACAGACCACCAGGCAAAGGGGAGUCUUAAAUGAUAAAAGCUGGGCAGCACAAGUUGAGCAGAGGGUGAAGAAGGAUCCUUGUCUGAGGCACAGAUACCACCUCAGGCUACUGGCAAUGCCAGCAUUUAGGCAACACCUACAUGCUUCAGACAUGGUAUCACCAAACUGUGGGUGUGGGGAGGAGCCUUCUUCCAUUUUCAAGUUUAUUCCAAAUGGCUCUUUAGGAGAGGGCAUGGGCUGGGGGUCUCCAGCCCUUCCAGCCAGACCGUGGCUGUUCCACCUCCACGCUCCUGAAGGGAGAGCCCACUCUGCCCUUCCUCCCCAGCAGCCCAGCUCUCCCGUCAGACAGCAGAGAGCUCUGCCCAAGGCCCGUGGGCCACUCGGACAAACCACAGGGUUUGUCAAAUUUCAGGACACAGGGCCAGGGAAGCAGCAGUGCAGGGGCUGCUCUCUCUCCAGAGCAGAGCCCACAUGGUGCCAAACUCCCUCUAACCAUCUGGGACUACAAGCUGCAGCCAGGCUGCACCAUGCUUGUCUUCCCCGAGCCGCCUUGGCAGAAGUCACCAUCCUUCCUGGGGAAAGCAAAAAACUUGCCUUGUUUUGUAAGAAAUCAGCAAGGUGCAUUCCUGAUUUGGCAUGAACAGGCACAUGGAUAAGCAUCAGAAAUGGAUGAAAAAGCACAGCAUUUCUCUCAGAAUAAUUUAUUAAAUACAGCAUUAAAAUUUGUAUUUAUGAAUUCAAUCAUUAAAAACAGAACUUCAUCUCAUAUAUAUAUAUAUAUAUUCAGGGACAAUGACAAUCAUUCUAUCAACAUUGGUGCAUGUUGUGCCAGCACUGCUCAGAACAGCACCUUCUCUACACUAGCCUUAAAGCAGUUCAACACUUAAAAAAAAAAAUAAUAAAAA